GACGAACGCUGGCGGCGUGCUUAACACAUGCAAGUCGAACGGUAAGGCCCUGCUCUUGCGGGGUGCUCAUGAGUCGAACGGGUGAGUAACACGUGAGUAACCCGUCCUUGACUUUGGGGUAACAUCAGGAAACUGGGGAGAAUAUCGCAUAGGAGCUUCUGCUGCAUGUGGGGGUUUGGAGAGAUUCGGCGGUUGGGGAUGGACUCGCGGACUAUCAGCUUGUUGGUGGGUCAGUGGCGUACCAAGGCUCUGAGGGGUAGCCGGCCUGAGAGGGUGACCGGGCACAUUGGGCCUGAGGUGCGGCCCAGACUCCUACGGGAGGCAGCGGUGGGGAAUAUUGCGCAAUGGGCGGAAGCCUGAUGCAGCAACGCCGCGUGCGGGAUGACGGCCUUCGGGUUGUAAACCGCUUUCGCCUGUGACGAAGAGUGAGUGACGGUAAUGGGUAAAGAAGCACCGGCUAACUACGUG
RNAcentral lists this ribosomal RNA (468 nucleotides) under uncultured bacterium. Its description in RNAcentral is "partial 16S ribosomal RNA". It matches the Rfam family "Bacterial small subunit ribosomal RNA", at positions 28 to 507 of the family's 1533-position model. The record is from RNAcentral.